GUGGCGUAAGUGGUUAGAGCUUCGGUCUCGGAUGCUGGAGGUUGUGGGUUCGAACCCCGGCCGACUCA
This is a non-coding RNA of Potamilus streckersoni, 68 nucleotides long. The record is from the annotation of a GenBank genome assembly. NCBI's taxonomy places the organism in Eukaryota, Metazoa, Mollusca, Bivalvia, Unionida, Unionidae.